RNAcentral lists this ribosomal RNA (206 nucleotides) under uncultured bacterium. RNAcentral describes it as "partial 16S ribosomal RNA". It matches the Rfam family "Bacterial small subunit ribosomal RNA", at positions 568 to 774 of the family's 1533-position model. The record is from RNAcentral.
CUCGUAGGCGGUUCGUCGCGUCCGGUGUGAAAGUCCAUCGCCUAACGGUGGAUCUGCGCCGGGUACGGGCGGGCUGGAGUGCGGUAGGGGAGACUGGAAUUCCCGGUGUAACGGUGGAAUGUGUAGAUAUCGGGAAGAACACCAAUGGCGAAGGCAGGUCUCUGGGCCGUUACUGCGCUGAGGAGCGAAAGCGUGGGGAGCGAACA